GCUCGUGUCGUGAGAUGUUGGGUUAAGUCCCGUAACGAGCGCAACCCUUGUCCUUAGUUACCAGCACGUUAUGGUGGGCACUCUAAGGAGACUGCCGGUGACAAACCGGAGGAAGGUGGGGAUGACGUCAAGUCAUCAUGGCCCUUACGGCCUGGGCUACACACGUGCUACAAUGGUCGGUACAGAGGGUUGCCAAGCCGCGAGGUGGAGCUAAUCUCACAAAACCGAUCGUAGUCCGGAUCGCAGUCUGCAACUCGACUGCGUGAAGUCGGAAUCGCUAGUAAUCGCGAAUCAGAAUGUCGCGGUGAAUACGUUCCCGGGCCUUGUACACACCGCCCGUCACACCAUGGGAGUGGGUUGCACCAGAAGUAGCUAGUCUAACCUUCGGGAGGACGGUUACCACGGUGUGAUUCAUGACUGGGGUGAAGUCGUAACAAGGUAGCCGUAGGGGAA
RNAcentral lists this ribosomal RNA (453 nucleotides) under uncultured bacterium. Its description in RNAcentral is "bacterial SSU rRNA". It matches the Rfam family "Bacterial small subunit ribosomal RNA", at positions 1058 to 1510 of the family's 1533-position model. The record is from RNAcentral.